GCCGGAAUUGCUCAUUUGGGGAGCGUUAGACUGAAGUUGUUUACGCAACAGUCAUCUGAAGGCCCCCCGGUUCAAUCCCGGGUUCCGGCA
Molecule: transfer RNA, 90 nt
Filed under: Dreissena polymorpha
Lineage: Eukaryota; Metazoa; Mollusca; Bivalvia; Myida; Dreissenidae
Description: tRNA-Phe
Source: RNAcentral